Non-coding RNA from Amphiprion ocellaris (clown anemonefish), 692 nucleotides. NCBI's taxonomy places the organism in Eukaryota, Metazoa, Chordata, Actinopteri, Pomacentridae. The record is from the annotation of a RefSeq genome assembly.
UGUACAUGUUACUCUCCUUCAAUGAUCCUAAGUCAGUGAGUGAAUGAGAUCAUCAGCAGAGACAAACAUUCUGUUAGUCAGAGCUGUGAGAGGAAGGAGGAAAGGAUGAAGGGAGGAGCUAAACUGGAACUCAAGUACAGAAAACACACAAACUUUCACAGUGGAGUUUGAUCCAAGAACAGACAGAUUGUCUUCAUCUUCAAGAUGCUGUCAGUGAACUUCAGUCUGUUUGUCAUUUUGUUUCUGCUCACAAUAAGAGAGUGUAAAGCAGAAGACAGAGUGAUACAGUCAUCAGAAGAUGUCUUUGCUGCUGAAGGAGACACAGUUACACUGGAUUGUACUUUUGAGAGCAGUUACACAAAUAAUAUUUUGUUCUGGUACAAACAAGAAGUGAAUGGCUUUCCAAAGUACAUUUUAAAACGUGGUCCUUAUGGAGAUGGUAAUGCUCCAGAGUUCAAAGACAGAUUUGAUGCCAAACUCAACAAGACAUCAGUUCCUCUGAAGAUCCAGGAGCUUCAUCUGUCAGACUCUGCUGUGUACUACUGUGCUCUGCAGCCCACAGUGACAGGAAACAGCAAAACUCUGUACAAAAACCUUUGGAGCAACGACAAGAGAAAACUCCACAACAUCCACUAGAGGGAGACACACUCUGUUACACUUCUGUGGUUUCCAGAAUUCAGCUGAGAUUUUUU